AUUACUGUUUUGUGAUUUCAGCUACCCUGUGAGCUAAAUCUGCCAGCAUUUCAGCAGGGACACUUGCACAACUUAAUAUAUGGCAUGCCAGAAAAAUCGUUGCCACAAGUCAACGUGGCUUAAAUGAAAGCAAGUUCAAGUGAAAAAGUUGACUUUAAUGGGACUAACAGCUGAGAAGACGACUCCUCAGAUGCGGAGCCACUAGGCAGAUGGAUGCUUACAUGCAUUUUAACAGACCAAUAUGCUAAUGUGGAGCUGCCAACGAACAGAACAAGACUGAAGAAUAUUUGCUGGAUUCAAGUUUUAGCUYGCUGUAUUUCCUCCCACCUACGACGACAGGGCUGUAGCUUUGAUUUGUUUGUUUUCCGUUUUAUUCGGAGACCGGUAACCGGAGGGAGAGGAAGCGGGGGACCUGCGCACGCCGAGGAAAAUCCCGGGUCCAGGAGCACAGGCAAAGCACAGGCCCCGGAGGAGAUGGGGAAAUAGCCCUUCCCGGGGACAAAAGGGACGUGCAGCUCAGAAACACCAGACUAGCCCAAAUCCUGGGGGCCAGGCACGGCGGGCGAGCCGAGGAGCUCUGCAAACCCUUUUCUGUCUCUGCUCUGUCUCGCCUGGCUUCUCAGAGCCCUUUUUUUGUUUUAGCAGGUAACUAGUCAAGUUUAUAUUUUAGCAAAAAACAGUGUUUUGCUUUUUUUUUUUAAUUUAAACACUCUGCUCUGUCUUGGAAGCUCACAGCCCGGAGAGGGUGCGGUGGGUUCAGCUCGGCUCCCUUUGGGCCAGGCUUUGCAG
RNAcentral lists this long non-coding RNA (789 nucleotides) under Dromaius novaehollandiae (emu). Its description in RNAcentral is "lncRNA (ENSDNVG00000001595.1)". The record is from RNAcentral. Lineage: Eukaryota; Metazoa; Chordata; Aves; Casuariiformes; Dromaiidae.